AGAGUUUGAUCCUGGCUCAGGACGAACGCUGGCGGCGUGCCUAAUACAUGCAAGUAGAACGCUGAGGACUGGUGCUUGCACUGGUCUAAGGAGUUGCGAACGGGUGAGUAACGCGUAGGUAACCUACCUCAUAGCGGGGGAUAACUAUUGGAAACGAUAGCUAAUACCGCAUGGCAAUAGGGUACACAUGUACCCUAUUUAAAAGGGGCAAAUGCUUCACUAUGAGAUGGACCUGCGUUGUAUUAGCUAGUUGGUAAGGUAACGGCUUACCAAGGCGACGAUACAUAGCCGACCUGAGAGGGUGAUCGGCCACACUGGGACUGAGACACGGCCCAGACUCCUACGGGAGGCAGCAGUAGGGAAUCUUCGGCAAUGGGGGGAACCCUGACCGAGCAACGCCGCGUGAGUGAAGAAGGUUUUCGGAUCGUAAAGCUCUGUUGUUAGAGAAGAACGGUAAUGGGAGUGGAAAAUCCAUUACGUGACGGUAACUAACCAGAAAGGGACGGCUAACUACGUGCCAGCAGCCGCGGUAAUACGUAGGUCCCGAGCGUUGUCCGGAUUUAUUGGGCGUAAAGCGAGCGCAGGCGGUUUGAUAAGUCUGAAGUUAAAGGCUGUGGCUUAACCAUAGUUCGCUUUGGAAACUGUCAAACUUGAGUGCAGAAGGGGAGAGCGGAAUUCCAUGUGUAGCGGUGAAAUGCGUAGAUAUAUGGAGGAACACCGGUGGCGAAAGCGGCUCUCUGGUCUGUAACUGACGCUGAGGCUCGAAAGCGUGGGGAGCAAACAGGA
RNAcentral lists this ribosomal RNA (786 nucleotides) under uncultured bacterium. Its description in RNAcentral is "bacterial SSU rRNA". It matches the Rfam family "Bacterial small subunit ribosomal RNA", at positions 8 to 777 of the family's 1533-position model. The record is from RNAcentral.